This 64-nucleotide transfer RNA is filed under the name Metallyticus sp. Its description in RNAcentral is "tRNA-Phe". The record is from RNAcentral. Lineage: Eukaryota; Metazoa; Arthropoda; Insecta; Mantodea; Metallyticidae.
AUUCAAAUAUCUUAUGCAGAGUAUAACAUUGAAGCUGUUAGUGAGAUAAAUUUAUCUUUGAAUA